UACAGAGGUCUCAAGCGUUGUUCGGAUUCAUUGGGCGUAAAGGGUGUGUAGGUGGCGCCGUAAGUCGGGUGUGAAGUUUCGGAGCUUAACUCCGAAACUGCAUUCGAUACUGCGGUGCUUGAGGACUGGAGAGGAGACUGGAAUUCAUGGUGUAGCAGUGAAAUGCGUAGAGAUCAUGAGGAAGACCAGUGGCGAAGGCGGGUCUCUGGACAGUUCCUGACACUGAGACACGAAGGCCAGGGGAGCGAACAGG
Molecule: ribosomal RNA, 253 nt
Filed under: uncultured bacterium
Lineage: Bacteria
Description: partial 16S ribosomal RNA
Rfam family: Bacterial small subunit ribosomal RNA
Source: RNAcentral